UUCUGGCUCAGGAUGAACGCUGGCGGCGUGCCUAACACAUGCAAGUCGAGCGAGAAACUCAUGACCAAUACUCGGUAGCGUGAUGAGCGGAAAGCGGCGGACGGGUGAGUAACGCGUAGGCAACCUGCCCCUUGCAGAGGGAUAGCCUCGGGAAACCGGGAUUAAAACCUCAUAAUGCGUAACGGAGACAUCUCCGAUACGCCAAAGAUUUAUCGGCAAGGGAUGGGCCUGCGUCUGAUUAGUUAGUUGGUGGGGUAACGGCCUACCAAGGCAGCGAUCAGUAGCCGACCUGAGAGGGUGAUCGGCCACAUUGGAACUGAGACACGGUCCAAACUCCUACGGGAGGCAGCAGUGGGGAAUAUUGCACAAUGGGCGAAAGCCUGAUGCAGCAACGCCGCGUGAAGGAUGAAGGCCCUUGGGUCGUAAACUUCUGUUCUAAGGGAAGAUAAUGACGGUACCUUAGGAGCAAGUCCCGGCUAACUACGUGCCAGCCGCCGC
RNAcentral lists this ribosomal RNA (498 nucleotides) under uncultured bacterium. RNAcentral describes it as "bacterial SSU rRNA". It matches the Rfam family "Bacterial small subunit ribosomal RNA", at positions 17 to 518 of the family's 1533-position model. The record is from RNAcentral.